Molecule: ribosomal RNA, 392 nt
Filed under: uncultured bacterium
Lineage: Bacteria
Description: bacterial SSU rRNA
Rfam family: Bacterial small subunit ribosomal RNA
Source: RNAcentral
GACGAACGCUGGCGGCGCGCUUAACACAUGCAAGUCGAGCGAUAACCAUGGCUUCGGCCAUGGGGAGAGCGGCGAACGGGUGAGUAACACGUGAGUAAUCUGCCCUCGACACUGGGAUAGCCCGGGGAAACCCGGAUUAAUACCGGAUAGCCUCUCGAGCUUUCGGGCUCGUGAGAAAAGAUGGCUUCGGCUUUCGGUUGAGGAGGAGCUUGCGGCGGAUUAGCUUGUUGGUGAGGAACGGCCCACCAAGGCGACGAUCCGUAGCUGGUCUGAGAGGACGAUCAGCCACACUGGGACUGAGACACGGCCCAGACUCCUACGGGAGGCAGCAGUGGGGAAUCUUGCGCAAUGGGCGAAAGCCUGACGCAGCGACGCCGCGUGAGGGAAGAAGG